GGAAUUGACGGAAGGGCACCACCAGGA
This 27-nucleotide non-coding RNA is filed under the name Drosophila erecta. The record is from RNAcentral. RNAcentral also lists the same sequence under 9 other names. Lineage: Eukaryota; Metazoa; Arthropoda; Insecta; Diptera; Drosophilidae.